This 297-nucleotide ribosomal RNA is filed under the name uncultured bacterium. Its description in RNAcentral is "partial 16S ribosomal RNA". It matches the Rfam family "Bacterial small subunit ribosomal RNA", at positions 355 to 643 of the family's 1533-position model. The record is from RNAcentral.
UAGGGAAUCUUCCACAAUGGACGCAAGUCUGAUGGAGCAACGGCCGCGUGAGUGAAGAAGGUUUUCGGACCGUAAAGCUCUGUUGUUGGUGAAGAAGGAUAGAGGUAGUAACUGGCCUUUAUUUGACGGUAAUCAACCAGAAAGUCACGGCUAACUACGUGCCAGCAGCCGCGGUAAUACGUAGGUGGCAAGCGUUGUCCGGAUUUAUUGGGCGUAAAGCGAGCGCAGGCGGAAGAAUAAGUCUGAUGUGAAAGCCCUCGGCUUAACCGAGGAAUUGCAUCGGAAACUGUUUUCGUU